AUGCUGUUCCCGUAACACCCAGCACCAGUCCCCAAGGAUGAGUGCUGAAGAUCCAUAGCCAUGGCAGGGCAGGGCCUAGGUACUGAAGGAAGAUCCCACUCAGAGUUCAGUUCCACCCACUGCAAAACGCCCUCCGAGGACCCUCACUAGACCAGUUCCUCCAAGUGCGGUCCGCAGGCUGCCAUCAGCGGGAUCACGGGCCUUGUAUGACCUCUGAAAAUAUGACCUGAAGCAGAUGGAUGCACUCACAUAAGAAACAUCACCUGUGGCCUUCAUCGAAAAUGGGCCUGCUGCUUGAAGAAGUUGGGCUCUUGGAGUUCUCUAGCACAGGGGCCAUGAAAAUCAAUGACUUCCUUGUUUGCUGACGGAGCAGAGGUAGAAUCUCUUGGUGUUUCCACGGAGAAAACACUGACCAUGAAGAGCCAAGAAAGAUGACAUGAUGAAGCCAUCAGGGGAAGCACCAAACAUCCUCAACUCUGCUCACCCAUGGUUUUCUCCCGCCCUCCCAGAGCUCCUCCUGCGUGAGUAAUGCAGUGUGUGCUGGUGCAGUGUCUCACUGAAAAAAGAAAGAAACCCU
Molecule: long non-coding RNA, 577 nt
Organism: Homo sapiens (human)
Lineage: Eukaryota; Metazoa; Chordata; Mammalia; Primates; Hominidae
Product: long intergenic non-protein coding RNA 1588
Source: Ensembl